RNAcentral lists this ribosomal RNA (958 nucleotides) under uncultured bacterium. Its description in RNAcentral is "bacterial SSU rRNA". It matches the Rfam family "Bacterial small subunit ribosomal RNA", at positions 40 to 997 of the family's 1533-position model. The record is from RNAcentral.
CGGCCCGACCACGCGCUUAUCCAUAACAAUACGAGGGGUAUAGUAGCAAUACUAGAGACCGGCGCACGGGUGAGUAAAGGGUAUGCAAUCUACCUUUCACAAAGGAAUAGCCCAGAGAAAUUUGGAUUAAUGCCUUAUAGUAUUACGACUUCGCAUGGAGAUGUAAUUAAAGAUUUAUCGGUGAAAGAUGAGCAUGCGUCCCAUUAGCUAGUUGGUAAGGUAACGGCCUACCAAGGCAACGAUGGGUAGGGGUCCUGAGAGGGAGAUCCCCCACACUGGUACUGAAACACGGACCAAACUCCUACGGGAGGCAGCAGUGAGGAAUAUUGGUCAAUGGGCGCAAGCCUGAACCAGCUAUGCCGCGUGCAGGAUGACGGUCCUAUGGAUUGUAAACUGCUUUUAUACAGGAAGAAACACUCCCUCGUAAGGGAGCUUGACGGUACUGUAGGAAUAAGGAUCGGCUAACUCCGUGCCAGCACCCGCGGUAAUACGGAGGAUCCAAGCGUUAUCCGGAAUCAUUGGGUUUAAAGGGUCCGUAGGCGGCUUAAUAAGUCAGAGGUGAAAUCCCUACGCUUAACGUAGGAACGGCCAUUGAUACUGUUAGGCUUGAAUUAUUAGGAAGUAACUAGAAUAUGUAGUGUAGCGGUGAAAUGCUUAGAGAUUACAUGGAAUACCAAUUGCGAAGGCAGGUUACUACUAAUUGAUUGACGCUGCUGGACGAAAGCGUGAGUAGCGAACAGGAUUAGAUACCCUGGUAGUGCACGCCGUAAACGAUGGAUACUAGCUGUUCGGAGCAAUCUGAGUGGCUAAGCGAAAGUGAUAAGUAUCCCACCUGGGGAGUACGUUCGCAAGAAUGAAACUCAUAGGAAUUGACGGGGGCCCGCACAAACCGUGGAGCAUGUGGUUUAAUUCGAUGAUACGCGAGGAACCUUACAAAGGCUUAAAUGUAAAUUGAAUG